CCUACGGGUGGCAGCAGUGAGGAAUAUUGGUCAAUGGACGAGAGUCUGAACCAGCCAAGUAGCGUGAAGGAUGACUGCCCUAUGGGUUGUAAACUUCUUUUAUAUGGGAAUAAAAUGUUCCACGUGUGGGAUUUUGUAUGUACCAUAUGAAUAAGGAUCGGCUAACUCCGUGCCAGCAGCCGCGGUAAUACGGAGGAUCCGAGCGUUAUCUGGAUUUAUUGGGUUUAAAGGGAGCGUAGGUGGAUUGUUAAGUCAGUUGUGAAAGUUUGCGGCUCAACCGUAAAAUUGCAGUUGAAACUGGCAGUCUUGAGUACAGUAGAGGUGGGCGGAAUUCGUGGUGUAGCGGUGAAAUGCUUAGAUAUCACGAAGAACUCCGAUUGCGAAGGCAGUUCACUGGACUGCAACUGACACUGAGGCUCGAAAGUGUGGGUAUCAAACAGGAUUAGAUACCCGAGUAGUC
Molecule: ribosomal RNA, 460 nt
Filed under: uncultured bacterium
Lineage: Bacteria
Description: partial 16S ribosomal RNA
Rfam family: Bacterial small subunit ribosomal RNA
Source: RNAcentral